This 74-nucleotide non-coding RNA is filed under the name uncultured Georgenia sp. Its description in RNAcentral is "Glycine riboswitch". It matches the Rfam family "Glycine riboswitch aptamer", at positions 9 to 86 of the family's 94-position model. From Rfam's summary of the family: This family represents the bacterial glycine riboswitch. Glycine riboswitches usually consist of two metabolite-binding aptamers domains with similar structures in tandem. The record is from RNAcentral. Lineage: Bacteria; Bacillati; Actinomycetota; Actinomycetes; Allobogoriellales; Allobogoriellaceae.
GCGGCGGGAGAGACCCGCGCAGGCGGGCGCCGAAGGAGCAACCUCCCCGGAAACUCUCAGGCCCCCAUACCGCC